This 1338-nucleotide long non-coding RNA is filed under the name Homo sapiens (human). Its description in RNAcentral is "HSALNT0357918". Lineage: Eukaryota; Metazoa; Chordata; Mammalia; Primates; Hominidae. The record is from RNAcentral.
CUUUCACCUCAGGGACUUUCUACAGCUCAUUACUCACCCUUAUUCAUGGCAGUCUAAGGAUUCUGGUUUUAUUUAUUUUUUUUGGUGGGGUUGGGGGUGAGGGGAGAGAUAAAUCUGUUUUUGAUUGAUCACAGUUUCAUGUAGGCCAAUUGCCUCUUGUUUUCCCCCAGGACUAGUGGGGUAGAGAAUUUUUAAUUCUUCUUCCAGAUUGGGCAGAGAUUUUCUUCUUUUUUAUGCCAGUUACCAGCUAUGUAAUCUUGGGGAUUUCACCCUUCCUUAACUAUAAAAAGAAGACUUCUUGGGCCAGGCCGGUGGCUCACGCCUGUAGUCCCAGCACUUUGGGAAGCCGAGGCGGAUGGAUCACGAGGUCAGGAGAUCGAGACCAGACUGGCCAACAUGGUGAAACCCCGUCUCUAACAAAAAUAGAAAAAUCAGCUGGGCAUGGUGGUGCAUGCCUGUAGUCCCAGCUACUUGGGAAGCUGAGGCAGGAGAAUUGCUUGAACCUGGGAGGUGGAGGUUGCAGUAAACCGAGAUCGUGCCACUGCACUCCAGCCUGGUGACAGAGCAAGAGUCCGUCUGAAAAAAAAAAAAGACUUCUUAAUAAAAAACAGGCAUACCUCAUUUUACUGCACUUCACUUUUUUUGUGCUUCACAGAUAUUGCUUUUUUUUUUUUUUUUUUUUUUUUUUACAAAUGGAAGGUUUGUGUGGUAACCCUUCAUUCAGCAAGUCCAUUGGUGCCAUUUAUCCAAGAGCAUGUGCUCACCUUGCGUCUCUAUGUUACAUUUUGGUAAUUCUUACAAUAUUUAAAAAUUUUCACUAUGAUUAUAUCUGUGAUGGUGGUCUGUGAUCAGUGAUCUUUGAUGUUCCUAUUGUAAUUGUUUUAGGGCACCACCAACUGCAUUCAUAUAGGACGGUGCACUUAAUUGGUAAAUACUGUGUGUAUUCUAACUGCUCCACCAAUCAGGUGUUGCCUCAUCUUUCUCCUGCUCCUUGGACUCUCAAUUCCCUCAGACACAACAGUGUUGAAAUUAGACCAAUUAAUAUCCCUACAAUGGCCUCUAAGUGUUGAAGUGAAAGAAAGAGUUUCAUGUUUCUCACUUUAAAUAAAAAGCUAGAUAUGAUUAAGCUUAGUGAGUGUAUUAGUCUGUUCUCAUGUUGCUAAUAGAGACAUACCUGAGACUGGGUAAUUUAUAAAGAAAAGAGGUUUAAUGGACUCACCACUCCACAUGAUUGGGGAGACCUCACAGUGAUGGUGAAAGACGAAGGAAGAGCAAAGAGACAUCUUACAUGGUGUCAGGCAGAGAGAGCUUGUGUAGGGGAACUCCCUUUUAUAAAAC